AAAGCAUAUAACGGAUGCCUUGACUUAGAGUUCCGAAGAAGGACGUGGGAAACUGCGAUAAGCCUCGACGAGUUGUUAACAAGCGUUGACUCGGGGAUUUCCGAAUGGGGAAACCCGCAUAGAUUCAUAUUUAUGCAUUCAUAGCUGAACACAUAGGCUAUGUAAAGGAUACACAGAGAACUGAAACAUCUCAGUACCUGUGGACAAGAAAUCAAUCGAGAUUCCCUUAGUAGUGGCGAACGAACGGGGAGAAGCCCAAACCGUCUUUAUGGCGGGGUUGUAGGACUCCAAUAUGACGAAAUUUUGCAUAGACAAAGAGAACUGGAAAGUUCCGCCGAAGAAGGUGAUAGCCCUGUAGUUGAAAUGUAGAAAUAGUCUAGGAUGAUCCUGAGUAAGGUCGGACACGUGUAAUCUGGCCCGAAGCAGGGGGGACCACCCUCCAAGGCUAAAUAGACUCUAAGAUCGAUAGUGAACUAGUACCGUGAGGGAAAGGUGAAAAGAACCCCGGGAGGGGAGUGAAAUAGAACCUGAAAUUAUAUGCUUAUAAAGAGUCGGAGCUUCACGCUUGCGUGUUAGUGACGGCGUGCUUUUUGUAGAACGAAUGAGCGAGUUAGUUGUAUGUGGCAAGGAUAAGUCAGUAAUAGACGAAUCCGUAGCGAAAGCGAGUCUUAAUAGGGCCAUUAAGUCGCAUGCACUAGACCCGAAACUAGGUGAGCUAUCCAUGGUCAGGUUGAAGCGAUGGUAAGACAUCGUGGAGGACCGCACACGGACGUGUUGCAAGACGUCGUGAUGAACUGUGGAUAGGGGUGAAAAGCCAAUCGAACCUAGAGAUAUCUGGUUCUCUCCGAAAUAGCUUUAGGGCUAGCCUUGAGCGUUAAAUUAUGGGGGUAGAGCACUGUCAAGACUAGGGCUUCCCAAAAGAGGUACCAACUCUUAACAAACUUCGAAUACCAUAAUGUACUUCUCAGGAGUCAGACUGUGACAGCUAAGUGCCAUAGUCGAAAGGGAAACAGCCCAGAUCGCCAUCUAAGGUCCCUAAUAGAAUUUAAGUGGGAAAGGAUGUGAGAGUGUUAAAACAACCAGGAGGUUGGCUUAGAAGCAGCCAUUCCUUUAAAGAGUGCGUAAUAGCUCACUGGUCGAACGCUCUUGCGCCGAAAAUGUAACGGGGCUAAAUUUCUAACCGAAGAUGCGGAUUAUACAAUUUAUUGUAUAGUGGUAGGAGAGCGUUGUAUUCAGCGUUGAAGUCGAAAUGCGAGUUUCGGUGGAGUGGAUACAAGCGAAAAUGCUCAUAUGAGUAAGUAAAAUAAAUGUGAAAACCAUUUACACCGUAAGACCAAGGUUUCCCACGCAACGACAAUCGACGUGGGGUUAGUCGGUCCUAAGACGAGGUCGAAAGACGUAGCCGAUGGACAUCUGGUUAAUAUUCCAGAACCAGUAUAUUUCCGCCCAACACAAUCCAUUUUGAAUAUUUUUUCAAGUUGAAUUCUUCUUUACUUUGUAAUCAAGUUUUUAACAGAAAGAAGGCUAGAAGUGAGGCGUGAGCAACGGAGUGACGCAUUUUGAUAGUCAGAGCCUAUUAAUGAAUUUAGGUGUAAGUGUCUAGGUGUUGAUUCUUGUAGGUAAAUCCGCAGGAAGAGCUGAAGCACGAUGCCGAAUCGCUAUCGCAAGAUAGCAUAAGUCUGGUGAGUCAAGGUGACUAGAAAACCUUCUAGCGAGGAAAUAUGCUGACCGUACCGCAAACCAACGCAGGUGGUCGAGUCGAGUAGACUCAGGUGCUCGGGAAAACUAGCGUAAAGGAACUCGGCAAAAUAGCGUCCGUAACUUCGGGAUAAGGACUGCUCUCAUUUUUAAUAUCGAGAGCCGCAGUAAAAGAGCGCAGGCGACUGUUUAUCAAAAACACAGGUCUCUGCAAACUCCCAAAGAGGAAGUAUAGGGGCUGACCCCUGCCCAGUGCCAGAAGGUUACGAGGAGAGGUUCACGCUUCGAAUCUAAGCCCUGGUGAACGGCGGCCGUAACUAUAACGGUCCUAAGGUAGCGAAAUUCCUUGUCGGGUAAGUUCCGACCCGCACGAAUGGGGUAACGGUCUGCGCACUGUCUCUACGCUAGACCCGCUGAAAUUGCAGUACCGGUAAAAAUGCCGGUUAAUCACAGUCAGACGGAAAGACCCUAUGGAGCUUUACUAUAGCUUGACAUUGAGUCUGAAUAUAUUAUGUGUAGGAUAGGUGGGAGACUUUGAAGCAAGAACGCCAGUUUUUGUGGAGUCAUCCUUGAAAUACCACCCUUAAUAUAUUUAGCCUCUCACCGAGUCCGUUAUCCGGAUUUUGGGACAGUGUUUGGUGGGUAGUUUAACUGGGGCGGUUGCCUCCGAAAGAGUAACGGAGGCGCGCAAUGGUUGACUUGCCGCGAAUGGAAACCGCGGUGGACGUGUAUACGCAUAAGUCAGCCUAACUGCAAGGCCUACAAGCCGAGCAGAGACGAAAGUCGGUGUAAGUGAUCCGGUAUCACCACGUGGGUGGGAUAUCGCUCAACGGAUAAAAGUUACCCUAGGGAUAACAGGCUGAUUUCCCCCAAGAGCUCACAUCGACGGGGAAGUUUGGCACCUCGAUGUCGGCUCGUCGCAUCCUGGGGCUGGAGAAGGUCCCAAGGGUAUGGCUGUUCGCCAUUUAAAGCGGUACGCGAGCUGGGUUCAGAACGUCGUGAGACAGUUUGGCCCCUAUCUGCUGUGAUCGUUGGAGAAUUGAGAAGAGCUGCUCCUAGUACGAGAGGACCGGAGUGGACGAACCACUGGUGUAUCGAUUGUUCCUGUCAAGGGCAUUGUCGAGUAGCUACGUUCGGAAUGGAUAACCGCUGAAAGCAUCUAAGCGGGAAGCCAACUUCAAGAUAAAUUUUCCCUAUAGCCUCCUGGGAGAACACCAGGUUGAUAGGUGCUCGGUGUACGCAUAGCGAUAUGUUAAGCCUAGGCAUACUAACAGGCAAUUGCUUUUUUA
RNAcentral lists this ribosomal RNA (2987 nucleotides) under Candidatus Altimarinus pacificus JGI 0000068-E11. RNAcentral's name for it is "bacterial LSU rRNA". It matches the Rfam family "Bacterial large subunit ribosomal RNA". The record is from RNAcentral. Lineage: Bacteria; Candidatus Altimarinota.